CGAAAUGGUAUUUUGUUUUCGUGUUGUAAUUCAGUGAGGAAUAAUAGUGGAGACCUGCUGAAAUGUUCAAUAAAUACUUUGAUGUUACCGUUUUCUAGACGCGUAAUACAUGAUUUCCGAAUACAAUAUUUGUUUAACUUCAUAUAAAUACUGGAACAAAAAUGUAUAAAUAUACUAGCUGAUUUGACUAGCUUUGCCCGGUAUAGUAUGUAUU
Cinara cedri is the source of this 214-nucleotide non-coding RNA. The record is from the annotation of a GenBank genome assembly. NCBI's taxonomy places the organism in Eukaryota, Metazoa, Arthropoda, Insecta, Hemiptera, Aphididae.